UUGGAAUGAGUAAGUAUAAACUCUUAACAGUAUCAAUCCGGAGGGCAAGUCCUGGUGCCAGCAGCCGCGGUAAUACCAGCUACCAAUAGCGUAUAUUAAAGUAUGUUGCAGUUAAAAAGCUCGUAGUUGGAUUUCUGUUAAUAAUUUAUAUAUAAUAUUACGGUAUUUAUAUAAUAUUAACAUAAUUCAUAUUACUUUAUUUUUAGAGUAUAUGAAAUUUUACUUUGAGAAAAUUAGAGUGCUUAAAGCAGGCAUAUGCCUUGAAUACUCCAGCAUGGAAUAAUAUUAAAGAUUUUUAUCUUUCUUAUUGGUUCUAAGAUAAAAAUAAUGAUUAAUAGGGACAGUUGGGGGCAUUUGUAUUUAACAGUCAGAGGUGAAAUUCUUAGAUUUGUUAAAGACAAACUAGUGCGAAAGCAUUUGCCAAGGAUGUUUUCAUUAAUCAAGAACGAAAGUUAGGGGAUCGAAGACGAUCAGAUACCGUCGUAGUCUUAACCAUAAACUAUGCCAACUAGAGAUUGGAGGUUGUUCUUAC
RNAcentral lists this ribosomal RNA (532 nucleotides) under Cryptosporidium varanii. Its description in RNAcentral is "SSU rRNA". It matches the Rfam family "Eukaryotic small subunit ribosomal RNA", at positions 509 to 1069 of the family's 1831-position model. The record is from RNAcentral. Lineage: Eukaryota; Apicomplexa; Conoidasida; Eucoccidiorida; Cryptosporidiidae.